UUCCGGUUGAUCCUGCCGGACCUGACUGCUAUCGGAUUGAUACUAAGCCAUGCGAGUCAUUGUAGCAAUACAAGGCAGACGGCUCAGUAACGCGUAGUCAACCUAACCUAUGGACGGGAAUAACCUCGGGAAACUGAGAAUAAUGCCCGAUAGAACACCAUACCUGGAAUGGUUUGUGUUCCAAAUGAUUUAUCGCCGUAGGAUGGGACUGCGGCCUAUCAGUUUGUUGGUGAGGUAAUGGCCCACCAAGACUAUUACAGGUACGGGCUCUGAGAGGAGUAGCCCGGAGAUGGGUACUGAGACACGGACCCAGGCCCUAUGGGGCGCAGCAGGCGAGAAAACUUUGCAAUGUGCGAAAGCACGACUAGGUUAAUCCGAGUGGUUUCUGCUAAAGGAACCUUUUGUUAGUCCUAGAAACACUAACGAAUAAGGGG
RNAcentral lists this ribosomal RNA (434 nucleotides) under uncultured archaeon. Its description in RNAcentral is "bacterial SSU rRNA". It matches the Rfam family "Archaeal small subunit ribosomal RNA", at positions 1 to 442 of the family's 1478-position model. The record is from RNAcentral.